Molecule: RNA transcript, 7498 nt
Organism: Gossypium raimondii (Peruvian cotton)
Lineage: Eukaryota; Viridiplantae; Streptophyta; Magnoliopsida; Malvales; Malvaceae
Exons: 8
Source: RefSeq, a predicted model, not a curated record
GGAAUAGGGAGCAUUUUAUUUUAAUCUCCCAUUUUCUCACCUCAAAAAAGCUCUUACUCAGUCUGGUCUCAAUCCUAACAUCCUUUGCUUCCUUCGUCUCCUACCAGUAGCAGUCCUCCCUUAGUGGAAACAAAUCUACCGUUGUGACAAAUACAACUGUAGAGAUUAAAGUUCCUGAGAAUGUUAUUAACUCUGUUUAUGGGGAGAAUGGUCGCAAUCUAGCUCCCUUAAAAGAGCUAAAAGACUGGUUGAAGGUAGCAACACGAAGGGGAAAGAUAUCCUCAAGGGUUUGCUAAGUGUGUUAUUGCUUUAUUUUCUUCUUUGGCUUACUUGAUUGCUUCCUCCACCCACAAUUAAACAUCUUGUAUUCACUGAAUCACUGUAAGUUCUUUGGCAAUUAAAUUCUUUGAUUUUGUUUUACUGUUAUUGAAAUUACUAUUGAAGAAAUGUGACCCUUUACUAUGAUUUGAAGAUAUGUAACACUUUAAUAUCUUGCAGUAACGGCUCGUCUGCCUUUAAUAGUACAAAGUGAGAGGUGUAAAAGAAUUGGUCUAGCAUUGAUAGUAUGGUUGCAAAUGUGUACAGUUGCGAGUUGGUUCUUAGUUACACUGGGUGUCAUCCAUAUCCUAAAUACUUAUAGACCAAUGAUUAUGUAAAACCCUGAAUAAUUUAUUUCUGUUUCUGUAAAUACUUAACACAAAUAUGUAUUUGCUUUAGGGAGUGUUUUGGUCCCACAGUUGCAAAUUUUGGUUAUUUUUAGGUCCAAGCCUUAUCCUUGUUGAGUAGGCUUAUAUAAAAUUGUCUGUUAAUCCAUAUCAUAAUAAGCUUGCUGGUUCGAGUGGUAAGGUGUUAGUGUGCUGAAGAUCCUGUGUUUGAAUCCUUGCAUGAGCAGGGGUGAUAGUUUUUGCUUUGAUUGACUAUGAAAAUUUGAGUGGAGUCGAAAUUUUGAGAGUGGAUAAGGUUAGUGGUCGGUUUUUUGGAGAUUUGGUGGUUGGUAGGAGGUUGUGCCUAAAAUUGAGGGAUUUUAUUUGAUUUGUUUAUCUUUUUAUCUUGAAUUUUUCUCUCUCUUCCAAAUUUUUGACAUUAGUUUUCUGCCAUUCCUUUUGGGUUUUGCCGUUUGGUCCUCUUGUUCAUCCUCUACAUUUUUUUCUGUCUUUUUUGUUUUCUUCCAAAUUGGUUCACAUUUUUCUAUCCUUCACGCGGUCUUGGUAAGUUUUUCGUUUCAUUCUCGUUUUUGUGGCGUAACAAUAGUUGUAAGAAAUCUGAAUUCUACAAACAGUUGUGUAGGUGAAGGCGGUGAAGCUGUGAUUUAUGCUUCAACAGUUUAAUUUUCGUGUGUAGUCAUUCCUGCGAUGGUAAGUUUUGAGCGCUGCUCGAUUUAGUUUUGUUGAAUUCGUUAAUCGUUUGCUAACAGGGUAUUGAGAUUCUGUCUUUAGGUGUUGGUGGUCUCAGGACUGGUUUCGUAUCAAACUGUAUUAGGUGUGUUCCCAAAACGCAGAAAAUUGGGUUUCAGCGAAAGCCAAAAAAAUAUUCUGUCGAUGCCACACGGGCAUGUGUCUGGCCGUGUGGUUGGCUGUGUGUGAGAAACGAUCGUGUGUCUGACGAAGCUGCGGACUUACGCAAGACACGACCGUGUGAUGACGUGAGUGUGGCCGUGUGGGCUACACGGGAGUGUGGGUUUUAGGCUAGGCUAUAUGGGCCACACGGGUAAGGCCAAUCUGGAAGUGUGGGCCUAUAGGAGCAAGCCACACGGGCAUGUGGGCCCAUAAUUUUGAAAUUUUCCCUAGGGUCGCAUGGGUCGUUCCAAUCGAUUGUGGGCCUACCGUAGAGUUGGUAAAGGAUAACCAAACCCUAAAUUAUGUGAUCUGAUAUUCUAAUAGUCUGCUCUGAGUAGGACAUCGUUAUGUAUGUCUAGAUAUUCUAUAUAUAUGUUGUUUGUAUACGAGCAUGUUAAGCAGGAUAUUUCUACAUAUGUAUCCUGUAUCUAUGAUGGGGGUGAGAAUCGUAUAUGUGGAGGAAGUGAUCUGUAUGGCGACUCUUAGCCUAUAUUCUGACAACCUGACUACAUAUUUUCUGUUAUGUGUCGUAUCGACAGUAUAUGGUGUGUAGGGAUGGGUGGGUGUUUUUAACCCCACAUGGUGUGAUGGGAUGGUCGGAGUUGGUGUGUAGAGGAUGGGGGUAAUCCACAGACAUAAGCGGAUCGGUACGGCGGAGUCUCACGGUGACCACCAGUUGAUAAAUUUGAAAAUAUACGAUGAGUGCUCGUGGAACUCGCGGUUGUGGUAUUCGUGGGUGCGAUAGGGGCCGUAGGGGGCUCGAGCUGAGUUUUCCUUUUGGGCAGUAUACCAAAUUUGGACACGAGUGAGACACCGGUUUCACCAGCUAUUGAGAUUGGGUUUUAAAGCUGCUCGGUUGAGGACGACGCACUAUCCCAAGCCAUGUUCAGAGUGUUGGAAAAGGUCGUUGGACCCCAUUCUAGAUCUGGGGGCCGUGGGUCGGUAACUGAACGAUUCCGGUGCAAUGGAGCUGAGCUGUUUAGGGGAGUCAUUGGAGCCACCCCUACUGUGGCCAAGUAUUGGUUGGAGGCCACUGAGAGAAUUAUGAAAGAUAUCGACUGUACUCCUGUGCAAAAAUUAAAGGGUAUAGUCUCUUUGUUUUGCGAUGAGGCGUAUUAGUGGUGGUUGUCGGUUGAGAAGGGUACUUAAUCGGAUCGUCUGAACUGGGAUUAUUUUAAUACUGCCUUCCAGGGCAUGUAUGUGGGCGAGAGCUAUGUUGAUGCUCGUAGACGUGAGUUCAUGAAUCUCACGUAUGGAGAUAAAUCUGUGGCCAAGUAUGAGGUUGAGUUUUUGAGGUUGAGCAGCUACGCUUGAGAGAUGGUGGCAUCUGGGUAUGAAAAAUGUGUCCAUUUUGAGGACGGUUUGAAGGACAGUUUGAGGGUUCUUAUUGCUCCGUAGAGGAAGCGUGAGUUUGCUGUUCUGGUGGAUAAGGCGAAGAUCACCGAAGAGGUUAAGCGCGUGGAGCGCUAGAAUAAGGAUCUUGAGAGAGGCAAGAAUAAAAGGGAUUUAGAGCCCUCUAGUUCUAUUUAGAGGCCUAAGAAAUGAGCCAGACCUGAUGGGCCUGUUAGAGGGGGUUCCUAUUACCCCUAUUAAGAUUCAGCCAUGUGGUGAUUGUGGUAGGCAUCAUCCGGGCAAGUGUUGGAAGAGGUUAGGGGCUUGUCUGAGGUGUGGGUCUUUGGAGCAUCGGAUUAGAGAGUGUCCAUAGUGUACUGAUCAGAUGCAAGCUUCAGCACCGAGUUCUGUAUAGCCUCAGAGGGCAGUUCAACAACCACCUAGGGGCCAUAGACCAGCUAUGGGUGGUAAUGGUAUGGGUCGAAGACAGAGAGCACCGAGCAGAUAUGCUAAUCAGUUUGAGGUGAGGCAACCUGUAUUGGUUUAUGCUACUCGACACCGAGAGGAUAGAGAUGCUUUUGAUGUGAUCACGGGUAUGUUUUUAAUUUUUGAUGCUUCAUAUAUUGCCUUGAUAGACAUAAGUUCUACUCAUUCUUAUGUAGCUAGUAUUGUUUCUGAGAACUUGGGGAUUUCUGUUGAGUGUACUUUUAGUGAUAUUACCAUACUGAGUCUGUUGGGGCAGUCUAUUCGAGUAAGUAGACUUUAUAGGAAUGUUCUGUUAGAAGUACAAGGGACUGUGUUUCCGGUAAAUCUGAUAGAGCUACUGUUUGGGGAGUUCGACUUAAUUCUGGGUAUGGAUUGGUUGGUUGAGCACUGAGUUAGUCUGGACUGUGCGACUAAGAGGGUUUUUCUGAGGACCAAGGAUGAUAAGGAAAUAGUUGUGAUCGGUGAGCGUCGAGAUUAUAUGUCUAAUGUAAUCUCCACUCUGGUGGCUGAGAAAUUGGUUCGAAAAGGGUGUGAGGCGUAUUUGGCUUUCGCAAGUGUUUCAAUUUCUUAGGACUCUUCCGUCAGGGAUAUCAGAACUGUGAGUGAAUUUUCGGAUGUCUUUUCUGAGGAGUUACUGGGUUUACCUCGAAAUUGAGAAGUUGAGUUCGGAAUUGAGCUUCUACUGGGUACAGCUCCGGUGUCCAUCGCUCCAUACCGUAUGUCACUAAAGGAGCUUACCGAGCUUAAGGCUUAACUUCAAGAGCUUCUAGAUCGUGGUUUCAUCCAUCCUAGUGUGUCCCCGUAUAGGGCACCAGUUCUGUUUGUAAAGAAAAAGGAUGGUACCAUGAGGAUGUGUAUUGACUACUGGCAGUUGAAUAAACUGACUAUGAAGAAUAAGUACCCACUUCCGAGGAUCGACGAUUUGUUUGAUCAGUUUCGAGGGGUUUCAGUGUUUUCAAAAAUAGAUCUCUGUUCUGGGUAUCAUCAGCUUAGAGUUAAGGAAGGGGAAGUUCAUUAAACAACAUUUAGGACUCGUUAUGGGCACUACGAGUUCCUAGUUAUACCCUUUGGUUUGACGAAUACUCCAGCUACAUUCAUGGAUCUGAUAAACUGAUUUUUUCAGCCGUUUCUAGAUCAGUUCAUCGUGGUCUUCAUCGAUGAUAUUUUCGUUUACUCUAAGACUGAGUUUGAGCAUGAUGAGCAUUUUAGAGUAGUGCUUCAGAUCCUCUGAGAGAAACAACUCUACGCUAAGUUGAGCAAGUGUGAGUUCUGGUUGCGAAAGGUAACUUUUCUGGGGCACGUCAUUUCUGCUUAAAGGAUCCGAGUUGAUCCUAGAAAGAUUGAGGUUGUGCUUGAUUGGAAACAGCCUAAGAACGUAUCUGAGAUUCGCAGUUUUCUGGGUUUUGCGGGAUAUUAUCAGCGAUUUGUUGAGGGAUUCUCUUUGAUUGCAGCUCCUUUGACUAAACUUCUGUGCAUGAGUGUUCCUUUUGUCUGGAUUGAUGCGUAACAAUUGAGCUUUGAGAAGCUCAAGUCUGUUCUGACUCAGGCUCCUGUUUUGAUACAGCCUUAAUAUAGUAAAGAGUUUAUGGUGUACAGUAAUGUGUUACACAUCGGUUCAGGAUGUGUGCUGAUCUAAGAUGGUAAGGUUGUGGCUUACGCGUCCUGUCAGCUUAAGUCACACAAGGGGAAUUAUCCAACGCAUGAUCUCAAGUUAGCUGCUAUGGUUUUUGUGUUAAAGAUUUGGAGGCACUAUUUGUAUGGUGAGAGGUGUAUUAUCUACACCGAUCAUAAAAGCCUCAAAUGCUUCCUUACUCAGAAGGAGUUAAAUCUUAGGCAGCGUAGAUGGACUGAACUGUUUAACGAUUAUGACUGCACGAUAGAGUAUCAUCCUAGUAAGGCCAAUGUGGUGGCUGAUGCUCUCAGUCGUAGAGCGAUGACUAACUUGAGUGCGAUGUUUGCUCGUCUUAAUUUGUUCGAUGACAGAAGUUUGUUAGUCGAGUUGUAAGUUAAGUCGACUUGGUUUGAUCAAAUUCGGCAGUUAGGGGAUGAGUCUUUAGUUUCACGGUUUCGCCAGGUUGAGAGUGGCAGUACAUCUGAUUUUGGGCUGAAUAAAGAUGGGGUUCUGUGUUUUCGAGGUUGGGUUUGUGUACCGAAUGAUUUUGAUUUGAGACAGUUGAUUUUGAGGGAGGUGCAUAGUAGCCCUUAUGCUAUGCAUCCUGAUGGUAAUAAAAUGUAUCGAGAUCUCCGUGAACUGUAUUGGUGGUCGGGUUUGAAACGUGAGUUAACAGAUUUUGUUACUCGUUAUCUAGCGUGUCAGCAGGUGAAAACUGAGUACUAGUUGCCUUCGGGUUUGCUCCAGCCUGUUAAGAUUUCCUUAUGGAAGUGGGAACGAGUGACGAUGGAUUUCGUUAGUGGGUUGCCCUUGACACCUGCUAAGAAGGAUUCUGUUUGGGUCAUCGUGGAUCGAUUGACCAAGUUCACCCAUUUUAUUCUGGUUCGAAUAGACUACUCUCUGUAAAAGUUAGCGAAGCUCUAUAUCUCUGAGAUUGUAAGACUACAUGGGGUUUCGGUUUCGAUAAUCUCUAAUAGGGAUCCUUGGUUUACUUCCCUGUUUUGGAAUAAACUGCAUGAGGCUCUGGGUUCAAGAUUGGACUUCAGUACUGCGUUCCAUCCUCAGGCCGAUGGUUAAUCUGAGAGGGUGAUUCUGUUACUAGAGGAUAUGCUUUAGAGUUGUGUGAUUGAUUUCCGAUGUAGUUGGUAGAUUUUUUGUUGUUAGCUGGUUUCGCCUACAAUAACAUUUUCCAGCCUAACUUCCAGAUGGCACCUUAUGAGGCUUUGUAUAUUUGUAAGUGUCGUACUUCGCUAUGUUGGACUAAGUUGGGUGAGCAAUGAAUUUUGGGUCCUGAGUUGGUUUUUGAGACUAAAGAUAGGGUUAGACUGAUUCGGGAUCAUCUGAAGGUGGCUUCCAAUAGACAUAUAUCUUAUGCAGAUCUGAAAAAAGAGAUAUUGAGUACAUUGUGGGUGACUUCAUUUUUUUAAGGUUUCUCCGUAACAAAAGUUUUGAGGUUUGGUCGUAAGGGUAAGUUGAGCCCUAGGUUCAUCGGGAUAUAUCAAAUUCUGAAGUGUGUGCGACCUAUUGAUUAUCAGUCGGAGCUACCUCUAGAGUUGGACCGUAUCUAUGAUAUGUUUCACGUCUUGGUGUUGAGGCGGUACCGGUGUGAUCCAUCUCACGUUGUCUCUAUUAAGAAGAUCUAGGUUAGAUCGGAUUUGACUUUUAAGGAGGAGCCAGUUUAAAUUUUAGAUCGAUAUAUUAAGGUUCUGAGGAGGAAGUCCAUACCAUUAGUGAAGGUUUUGUAGUAGAAUCAUGGCACUAAGGAAGCCCCGUGGGAACCUGAGGACUCGAUGUGUAUGCAGUAUCCUCAUAUGUUUGGAUCAGGUGAAGGCGGUGAAGCUGUGAGUUUUGCUUCAACGGUUUUUCGUGUGUAGUCAUUCCUAUGGUGGUGCUAAUGGUCUCGGGACUGGUUUCGCAUCAAAUCAUACGAGGUGUGUUCUCAAAACGUAAAAAAUUGGGUUUCAGCGAAAGUCGAAAAAGUAUUCUGUCGAUUCAACACGGGUGUGUGUCUGGCCAUGUGGUUGGUCGUGUCUCAGUCGUGUGUGAGACACGACUGUGUGAUGGUGUGAGUGUGGCUGUGUGGGCCACACGGGCUAGGCCAGAUUAGGUGGGUGGGCCUCUCGAGCAUGUGAUUUUUGGGCCAGGCCGUGUGGGCCACACGAGUAAGGCCAAUCUGGGUGUGUGGGCCACAUGGGCAUAUGGGCCCAUAAUUCUUAAAUUUUCCCUAGGGUCGCACGGGUCGUUUUGAUCAACUGUGGACCUACCGUAGGGUCAGUAAGAGAUAACCAAACCAUAAAUUAUGUGAUCUGAUAUUCUGAUAGUUUGCUCUAAGUAGGACACUAUUAUGUAUGUCUAGCUAUUCUAUAUAUAUGUUGUAUGUAUGCGAGCAUGUUAAGCAUGAUAUUUCAACAUUUGUAUCAUGUAUCUAUGAUUAGGGUGAGAAUCGUAUAUAUGGAGGAAGUGAUCUGUAUAACGACUCUUCGCCUAUAUUCUGGUAGCCUGAUUGCAUAUU